GUAGGUGGCAAGCGUUGUCCGGAAUUAUUGGGCGUAAAGCGCGCGCAGGCGGUUCUUUAAGUCUGAUGUGAAAGCCCACGGGCUCAACCGUGGAGGGUCAUUGGAAACUGGAGGGCUUGAGUACAGAAGAGGAAAGCGGAAUUCCACGUGUAGCGGUGAAAUGCGUAGAGAUGUGGAGGAACACCAGUGGCGAAGGCGGCUUUCUGGUCUGUAACUGACGCUGAGGCGCGAAAGCGUGGGGAGCAAACAGGAUUAGAUACCCUGGUAGUCCACGCCGUAAACGAUGAGUGCUAAGUGUUAGGGGGUUUCCGCCCCUUAGUGCUGCAGCUAACGCAUUAAGCACUCCGCCUGGGGAGUACGGCCGCAGGCUG
This 371-nucleotide ribosomal RNA is filed under the name uncultured organism. RNAcentral describes it as "partial 16S ribosomal RNA". It matches the Rfam family "Bacterial small subunit ribosomal RNA", at positions 527 to 896 of the family's 1533-position model. The record is from RNAcentral.